UUCCAAGGUUUGUGGAGUGAAGAAUUUGUUAAGCCAAGUUCAAUUUUCCAGGUUUCAUCUUGCAUCAUGCAAGUUAAAAGAAUGACAGCAUUCGAGUCUCCUGAUAACCAAAUUAAUUGCAGCAGCUUCUUAGGCCUUCUAAAAUGAUUGGCUUCACCUGCAAGGAGAUAAGGACUAAAAUGAUUGGCUUCAACUGCAAGGAGAUAAGGAUUGGCUUCAACUGCAAGGAGUUAAGGACUAAAAUGAUUGGCUUCAACUGCAAGGAGAUAAGGACCGAUCCCCAAUUUCCAAGUUGAGGUUUGAGGAUCACCUGUUUCCAAUUUUCUGGGAAAUUGCUCUUUUCAAGGUACAUGUCAGAUUUGUACAUCCAACUUUAAAUAGUAAAAGUUUUUCAGUGGACUACGG
This 405-nucleotide long non-coding RNA is filed under the name Theobroma cacao (cacao). RNAcentral describes it as "long non-coding RNA (TCAC_LNC002167)". The record is from RNAcentral. Lineage: Eukaryota; Viridiplantae; Streptophyta; Magnoliopsida; Malvales; Malvaceae.